Molecule: long non-coding RNA, 839 nt
Organism: Rattus rattus (black rat)
Lineage: Eukaryota; Metazoa; Chordata; Mammalia; Rodentia; Muridae
Exons: 3
Source: RefSeq, a predicted model, not a curated record
CAGUUGGGAGUGAGUUUCCAUAGUAAAUCACUGUUGCUAGCUCUAAAGCCCAGACAUUCUGGGCAGCAGACAUAGUCCGCCUAAGGAGAGCGCUGCGGGGAGACCAGUGAUGGUUAUAGGCGAUGCUUGUAGUUGUUUAGGAGGGAGUGGCGAGUGGGUGCUGUGGCUCCGAUCCUUAGCAGAGCCCAGACUGUCCAGCCAAGCCACUCUUGCCAGCGCCCGUAUCCUGAGUUAGGUGGCGAAAUGCUGAGGGGCUCUCCUAUUCGGGGGAAUGCGGUAGUGAUGUAUAAGGUAUGAAAGAUGUGGCCUGCAGAGAGCCGGCACUAUCUCUACUGCUGCUGCUGCUGCCACCGCUGCCGCUGCCGCCGCCACUACUGCUGCCAGUAGAGCUGCUGGGAGUGAGCCUCCCUUCUUCCAGAUACCCAGCUCCGUUGCAUAGUCCGCUCCCUGGCCCCGCACGGACCUCCCCGCCCCAGGGAACAAAAGCAGAGUCCGGUCGCCCUGUUCUGCAGCCAGAGGAUGAUGAGUCUAGAGCUCUGAACCGAGUGUGGUCUUCAGCGGCUGGAAGCUGCUCCCUGCCCUUUCUCCAUGAUUCCUGACUUGUGGCCCUGGCAAUCUCAGAAGAGCUUCACUGAAUUCCUUUGCAACCAGAACCUGGGGACUCGCUUCCCCCAGCAUCACCCCUGUGCAGCCUGGACACACUGACUGAACCAGUCUUUGGGACACUUGUAUCUCGAUUCUCUUCCUGGAAGUCUUGCCUCUUUCUUUCCACCCCAGCUAUUGGCUACUGCCAUCUUUAUUGACAGAUCAAAUCCAAACGGAGGCAAGGACCUUCAGUG